AGUGUUCGAUUAAGCCAUGCGAGUUAAUGUUCUUCGUGAACAUAGCAGACUGCUCAGUAACACGUGGAUAACCUGCCCUUAGGACUGGCAUAACCCCGGGAAACUGGGGAUAAUUCCGGAUAGAUCAUAAAUGCUGGAAUGCUUUAUGAUUGAAAGGUUUCGACCGCCUUAGGAUGGAUCUGCGGCCUAUCAGGUUGUAGUGGGUGUAAUGUACCUACUAGCCUACGACGGGUACGGGUUGUGGAAGCAAGAGCCCGGAGAUGGAUUCUGAGACAUGAAUCCAGGCCCUACGGGGCGCAGCAGGCGCGAAAACUUUACAAUGCGGGAAACCGUGAUAAGGGAACACUGAGUGCUAGCAUUUAUGUUAGCUGUCCACAUGUGUAAAUAGCAUGUGAUAGCAAGGGCUGGGCAAGACCGGUGCCAGCCGCCGCGGUAACACCGGCAGCCCGAGUGGUGAUCACUAUUAUUGGGUCUAAAGGGUCCGUAGCCGGUUUAAUCAGUCUUCUGGGAAAUCUAAUCGCUUAACUAUUAGGCUUCCAGGGGAUACUGUUAGACUUGGGACCGGGAGAGGUAAGAGGUACUGCAGGGGUAGGAGUGAAAUCUUGUAAUCCCUGUGAGACCACCAGUGGCGAAGGCGUCUUACCAGAACGGGUCCGACGGUGAGGGACGAAAGCUGGGGGCACGAACCGGAUUAGAUACCCGGGUAGUCCCAGCUGUAAACGAUGCUCGUUAGGUGUCAGGAACGGUGCGACUGUUUCUGGUGCCGAAGGGAAGCCGUGAAACGAGCCACCUGGG
This 795-nucleotide ribosomal RNA is filed under the name uncultured archaeon. RNAcentral describes it as "bacterial SSU rRNA". It matches the Rfam family "Archaeal small subunit ribosomal RNA", at positions 35 to 832 of the family's 1478-position model. The record is from RNAcentral.